RNAcentral lists this non-coding RNA (21 nucleotides) under Caenorhabditis elegans. The record is from RNAcentral. Lineage: Eukaryota; Metazoa; Nematoda; Chromadorea; Rhabditida; Rhabditidae.
UAUAGAUGCAACCAUAAAAAC